AGCGAACGCUGGCGGCAGGCUUAACACAUGCAAGUCGAGCGGGCACUUUCGGGUGUCAGCGGCGGACGGGUGAGUAACGCGUGGGAACGUGCCCUCUGGUUCGGAAUAACUCAGGGAAACUUGAGCUAAUACCGGAUACGCCCUUUUGGGGAAAGGCUUGCUGCCGGAGGAUCGGCCCGCGUCUGAUUAGCUAGCUGGUGAGGUAACGGCUCACCAAGGCGACGAUCAGUAGCUGGUCUGAGAGGAUGAUCAGCCACACUGGGACUGAGACACGGCCCAGACUCCUACGGGAGGCAGCAGUGGGGAAUAUUGGACAAUGGGCGCAAGCCUGAUCCAGCCAUGCCGCGUGAGUGAUCAAGGCCUUAGGGUUGUAAAGCUCUUUUAUCCGGGACGAUAAUGACGGUACCGGAGGAAUAAGCCCCGGCUAACUUCGUG
Molecule: ribosomal RNA, 435 nt
Filed under: uncultured bacterium
Lineage: Bacteria
Description: partial 16S ribosomal RNA
Rfam family: Bacterial small subunit ribosomal RNA
Source: RNAcentral